RNAcentral lists this ribosomal RNA (429 nucleotides) under bacterium. RNAcentral's name for it is "partial 16S ribosomal RNA". It matches the Rfam family "Bacterial small subunit ribosomal RNA", at positions 355 to 776 of the family's 1533-position model. The record is from RNAcentral.
UAGGGAAUCUUCGGCAAUGGGGGCAACCCUGACCGAGCAACGCCGCGUGAGUGAAGAAGGUUUUCGGAUCGUAAAGCUCUGUUGUAAGAGAAGAACGUGUGUGAGAGUGGAAAGUUCACACAGUGACGGUAACUUACCAGAAAGGGACGGCUAACUACGUGCCAGCAGCCGCGGUAAUACGUAGGUCCCGAGCGUUGUCCGGAUUUAUUGGGCGUAAAGCGAGCGCAGGCGGUUUAAUAAGUCUGAAGUUAAAGGCAGUGGCUUAACCAUUGUUCGCUUUGGGAACUGGUGAACUUGAGUGCAGAAGGGGGGAGUGGAAUUCCGUGUGGAGCGGUGAAGUGCGUGGAUAUAUGGGGGAGCGGGGGGGGCGAAAGCGGCUCUCUGGUCUGUAACUGACGCUGAGGCUCGAAAGCGUGGGGAGCAAACAGG